Molecule: ribosomal RNA, 496 nt
Filed under: uncultured bacterium
Lineage: Bacteria
Description: partial 16S ribosomal RNA
Rfam family: Bacterial small subunit ribosomal RNA
Source: RNAcentral
GAUGAACGCUGGCGGCGUGCCUAAUACAUGCAAGUCGAGCGAACAGAUGAGGAGCUUGCUCCUCUGACGUUAGCGGCGGACGGGUGAGUAACACGUGGAUAACCUACCUAUAAGACUGGGAUAACUUCGGGAAACCGGAGCUAAUACCGGAUAAUAUAUUGAACCGCAUGGUUCAAUAGUGAAAGACGGUUUUGCUGUCACUUAUAGAUGGAUCCGCGCCGCAUUAGCUAGUUGGUAAGGUAACGGCUUACCAAGGCAACGAUGCGUAGCCGACCUGAGAGGGGGAUCGGCCACACUGGAACUGAGACACGGUCCAGACUCCUACGGGAGGCAGCAGUAGGGAAUCUGCCGCAAUGGGCGAAAGCCUGACGGAGCAACGCCGCGUGAGUGAUGAAGGUCUUCGGAUCGUAAAACUCUGUUAUUAGGGAAGAACAAAUGUGUAAGUAACGAUGCACGUCUUGACGGUACCUAAUCAGAAAGCCACGGCUAACUACGU